GACGAACGCUGGCGGCGUGCUUAACACAUGCAAGUCGAACGGAAAGGCCCUGCUUGCAGGGUACUCGAGUGGCGAACGGGUGAGUAACACGCGGGUGAUCUGCCCUGCACUUCGGGAUAAGCCUGGGAAACUGGGUCUAAUACCGGAUAGGAGCCAUUUUGAGUGGGAUGGUUGGAAAGUUUUUUCGGUUUAGGAUGAGCUCGCGGCCUAUCAGCUUGUUGGUGGGGUAAUGGCCUACCAAGGCGGCGACGGGUAGCCGGACUGAGAGGGUGGACGGCCACAUUGGGACUGAGAGACGGCCCAGACUCGUACGGGAGGCCGAAGUGGGGAAGAUUGAACAAUGGGCGCAAGCCUGAUGCAGCGACGCCGCGUGGGGGAUGACGGCCUUCGGGUUGUAAACUCCUUUCGCUAGGGACGGAGCUUUUUGUGACGGUACCUAGAUAAGAAGCACCGGCUAACUACGUG
RNAcentral lists this ribosomal RNA (465 nucleotides) under uncultured bacterium. RNAcentral describes it as "partial 16S ribosomal RNA". It matches the Rfam family "Bacterial small subunit ribosomal RNA", at positions 28 to 507 of the family's 1533-position model. The record is from RNAcentral.